UGGACAGAUUAUUGUAUUCGACUGUAUUCACGGCGUGAAACAGGGGAUUACACUAUUUUUAAAUGGAAAGUGAAUCAAUUAACAUAAUAGACUCCU
RNAcentral lists this microRNA precursor (96 nucleotides) under Nicotiana sylvestris (wood tobacco). Its description in RNAcentral is "MIR6152 microRNA precursor family". It matches the Rfam family "MIR6152 microRNA precursor family". RNAcentral also lists the same sequence under 1 other name. Lineage: Eukaryota; Viridiplantae; Streptophyta; Magnoliopsida; Solanales; Solanaceae. The record is from Rfam by way of RNAcentral.